AGCGAACGCUUGCGGCAGGCUUAACACAUGCAAGUCUAACGGGCACUUCGGUUCUAGUGGCAGACGUGUGAGUAACACGUGGGAACGUACCUUUCGGUUCGGAAUAAUACAGGGAAACUUGUACUAAUACCGGAUACGCCCUUCGGGGGAAAGAUUUAUCGCCGAUAGAUCGGCCCGCGUCUGAUUGGCCAGUUGGUGAGGUAAUGGCUCACUAAGGCGACGAUCAGUAGCUGGUCUGAGAGGAUGAUGAGCCACACUGGGACUGAGACACGGCCCAGACUCCUGCGGGAGGCAGCAGUAGGGAAUAUUGGACAAUGGGCGAAAGCCUGAUCCAGCCAUGCCGCGUGAGUGAUGAAGGCCUUAGGGUUGUAAAGCUCUUUUGUCCGGGAAGAUAAUGACUGUACCGGAAGAAUAAGCCCCGGCUAACUUCGUGCCAGCCGCCGCCGUAA
Molecule: ribosomal RNA, 449 nt
Filed under: uncultured bacterium
Lineage: Bacteria
Description: partial 16S ribosomal RNA
Rfam family: Bacterial small subunit ribosomal RNA
Source: RNAcentral